Molecule: long non-coding RNA, 637 nt
Filed under: Chinchilla lanigera (long-tailed chinchilla)
Lineage: Eukaryota; Metazoa; Chordata; Mammalia; Rodentia; Chinchillidae
Description: lncRNA (ENSCLAG00000028270.1)
Source: RNAcentral
GGGGAGCGGCGACGCGCAUGCGCAGUCCUCGGGCUGGCCCGGCGCACCUUUUCUCGCUGCAGCCACAUUGUGAGCGCUCGGCCCUGCAGAUAACCGCCGGCUCCCCGCCCCGCCCCCGCCCUCGCCCACUCCGCCCACUCCCGGGCGCCCAGGGCCAUCUUUUCCUAAAAAGCAAAUGGGGCUUUCCGGCGGUGCAGAGGAUGCUGGUGCACCUGGGGACCCUGGCAGCGCAUUGCUGUCCCCAUCCAAAGACAGUUACGCACAUCCCAUAGACGGCGACGUCGACAUCAUUGCUCUGGACAAGUAUCGGAGUGCAACGCCGAGGGUGCUUUGAAGAGCGCUUUAAAAGUUUUUUGUAUCUAUCUCUCUCUAUAUAGUGCCGAGAGCACUUCUGUACGUCCGUAAUCCCCGCUAUUGGGGAGGCUGAGACUGGUGAAUUGCAAGCUUGAGCCCAGCCUGGGCAACAAUGGAAACUUGCCUCAAAAAAUAUAAAGGGCUGGGCUGGGCGCACACCUGUAAUCCCACCACUCGGGAGGCUGAAGCAGGGGGAUUGUUGCGAGUUGGAGGCCAGCCUGGGCUACAAAGUGAGCUCCAGGCCAGCCUGAACUGCAGAUCGAGACUUUGUCUCAAAAAAGGC